AUCAAAUCAAACAAAUAACUAAUCAUUUUUAAAAUAAUAAUUUUUAAUAUUAAAAAAAAAUACAAUAUAAAUGGUUGAUGCAAUGCCAUUUAUUUGAUGGAAAAAUUAAAAUCUUAGAUUAAAUGGAUGAGAAAAAAAAAUCAGAGUACGGAAUUUAUUUAAUGAUCUAUGAUUAUAAUAAUUACUGACAAGGUAACAGUCAAGACACGCGUCUUCCCUGCACUGGUCCACAUCUCUAGGCUUUAUGGACUACUUCUCUAAUUUUUAUGUAUACGUGUCCUUAAAGACCGUGAAAAAAUUUUCUUUGCUGGAAAACGUUUAAGCGUCCGCUAUAAUCGUCAUCACAGACGCAUCAUCAAUACGUUUACAAUUAUUUGCGAGAGAAUAAUAUAUUUUAUUAUAAUGUAGUGGAUGAUUGAUUGAGGGUGGGUGUCGUAGUGAGAUGUUUAUGCUAGCUGGGGUUAUUCUUGGAACAGUAUGAACCAUGAGUAUAUAGUUCUUCCUUCUUUGUUGGAAGCAACAAAUGUAUGUGGGACCAAAAGAUGUAUGAUUGCUCGCCACGUGUAGGUUGUGUGCAGGAACGGUGGUUCCUUAGUCCCUUUAUAUUCUUGUUUGACUAUGACAGCUUUGCUGUAUCAUGAUGGAUCGGACUCACCUAAAACAGAAUUUUAUAGUGGUCACAGGGAUGCCUCCUGUUUUGUCAUUAUUGGCUUUCCUCCAAUACGCCAUUCUUUGUCUCUCUCUCUCUCUCUC
This 753-nucleotide unclassified non-coding RNA is filed under the name Hevea brasiliensis (rubber tree). Lineage: Eukaryota; Viridiplantae; Streptophyta; Magnoliopsida; Malpighiales; Euphorbiaceae. The record is from RNAcentral.